Molecule: ribosomal RNA, 465 nt
Filed under: Vreelandella stevensii
Lineage: Bacteria; Pseudomonadati; Pseudomonadota; Gammaproteobacteria; Oceanospirillales; Halomonadaceae
Description: partial 16S ribosomal RNA
Rfam family: Bacterial small subunit ribosomal RNA
Source: RNAcentral
CCUACGGGUGGCAGCAGUGGGGAAUAUUGGACAAUGGGCGAAAGCCUGAUCCAGCCAUGCCGCGUGUGUGAAGAAGGCCUUCGGGUUGUAAAGCACUUUCAGUGGGGAAGAAAGCCUUGGGGCUAAUACCCUCGAGGAAGGACAUCACCCACAGAAGAAGCACCGGCUAACUCCGUGCCAGCAGCCGCGGUAAUACGAAGGGUGCGAGCGUUAAUCGGAAUUACUGGGCGUAAAGCGCGCGUAGGCGGUCUGAUAAGCCGGUUGUGAAAGCCCCGGGCUCAACCUGGGAACGGCAUCCGGAACUGUCAGGCUAGAGUGCAGGAGAGGAAGGUAGAAUUCCCGGUGUAGCGGUGAAAUGCGUAGAGAUCGGGAGGAAUACCAGUGGCGAAGGCGGCCUUCUGGACUGACACUGACGCUGAGGUGCGAAAGCGUGGGUAGCAAACAGGAUUAGAUACCCCAGUAGUC